AAUUUUCAUUUAUUUUUAUUUUUUAAAAUAUGCCAUUGCUUAGGAGGUCCACGUGUUGAAACGUUUAGGUCCGUUUUUACCCUGUAAUUGCAAUUUCUGAAAUAUUUUCACUUAAGAGCUGUACCGAAUCAAUAUUAUUAUUUUUCUAGAAGCUUGGGAUGAAAUUCUGAUGAAAUUGGUAUCUGAUGGUACUGUCCCAAGGCUUGUUCAUCUCACUGGUAGUAUGGGAAAAUGUGUUUUCAAUUAUUUUUAUGAAAUGUUCACUUGGAGGAUUUCCUGGGAGUGAAAUUUGUUCUCAUUUACUCUGAAAAGGGCAAAGUUUAAAUAAAUGUCACUAUUUAGUAGAACGAAAAUGAAAGCAAACAAAAAAUACAGGGAGAAGAAGAGGAAACUGGCAACUGUACAGGAAACAAUGUGAUAUUCUUCUGAUUGGCGAGAAUGCCCAGGUGGUCUUGAGGUAAAUCCAGGUAAGGGCAAAAAGAUAAAUUUUCUUGAGAUUCAACCCUAAAACUUUUCUUUAGGAGUCCUUCUUGGGUUGUAGGGCACUUGGGACUCUUUGUGAAAAUACCCCUUGUUAUUCAGUGUGGAAGAAUCAGCCACAUUUAGAUAGGAUGCUUUUUGGUGUAGUUUGUUGACUGGCAGCUUCAGUGAACAUCUCAUUUUUCCAAAAUUAUUCUCAGGAGUGAGAAAGCUGCAUAGUUAUUGCUCCCAGUCUGUGGAUGGAGAACGAGUGCAGAAGAAACAAUAAAUUCCAUCUUCAAAGACAGUCACUGCUGGUGUUUAUUCAUAACUUCUUGCUCUUUUAUAGCCUCCCAGGUCUGAGAUGAGAUAUUACCAUGUCAGACUUGUUCUUUGCAGUUCUACUUUUCUUCCUUUUUUGUGGUGGGGUGGGGGGGGCAGUGCACUGGGGAUUGAACAUAGGGGUGCUUUACCACUGAGCUACAUCCCCAAGUCUUUUUAUUUUUUAUUUUGAGACAGAGUCUCAUUAAGUUGCUCAGCGCCUUGCUAAGUUGUUGAGAUUGGCCUUGAACUUGUGAUCCUCCUGCCUCAGCCUCCAAGUUACUGGGAUUACAGGUGUGUGCUACUGUGCCUGGCCUUCUUUCUUUCUUAAAAAAAAAAAAAAAACAAGUUUAAAAAGGGAAAAGUUUAAAAUCUGAUUUUCUAGUUAUGAUCUUCUUUAAAAGAAUUCCUUCCUUCCUUCCUUCCUUCCUUCCUUCCUUCCUUCCUUCCUUCCUUCCUUCCUUCCUUCCUUCCUUUCUUUCUUUCUUUCUUUCUUUCUUUCUUUCUUUCUUUCUUUCUUUCUUUCUUUCUUUCUUUCCCAAAUAAGCUGUUAGGGCUCUCUCUUGACAAUUUCAUAGACACUAUUUAAAAUACUACUUCAGUCAGUUUAGUGAAUAAUCAUGGUUUUCUUUUUCCAUUUCCCAUGUGUGUUCAUUCUUGUUCUGAUAGCCGCAAUGAGACAUAAGUAAUGUCUAUAUCAAUCUCUUAUUUUCUUUUUUCCUAGUGUCUAGAAGAUUCUUGAACAGAAUGGUAUGAAUCUCUGUAUCUUUGUACCUCACAACCUGAUUGAAGACACGGUGUCAUCUAUGAGGCUCCACAUUUAUUUAAAGGGAAAAUGAAUUUGGUAUGAAAAGCAGGGCAUUUUGGCUAAAAAGUUCUCUCCUCGUGUUUUCUUCUGUAUGACUAAUUGCCAGGCUGGGUUUUCCCCUCUGUAUUUACCAACAGGGUGGUUGGCCUUUUCCUCACAAAUAAAAACUUAUCUUCUUGCUAAGACCUUCAAAAGAGUCAAUAGAAGGAGAACAAAGAAGGAAGGAAGAACUAAUGCCUCUGGCCAGUCGAAAUCUCCAGGACCUAGUAGCCCUGCUGUGUUGGACACUCCAGCUUAACAUUUUUAUCUAGAAUUGUAGUGUCCGUUUAAAUGUAGAAUAUAACUGACCUUUAUUUUCAUUAUUUUUGACCAUCCA
This 1964-nucleotide long non-coding RNA is filed under the name Marmota monax (woodchuck). The record is from RNAcentral. Lineage: Eukaryota; Metazoa; Chordata; Mammalia; Rodentia; Sciuridae.